AAGAGAAAGGUAGAACACGAAGCAGUAUAUCCUGCUUCAAUAAAAAGACUUUGAAGUACACAAAGUCUAUACUCUUAAAACGAUGCGCUUCUUUCUUUCCUUUUCCCUUUGUUUAUAUUUCGGGCCUGUAGCUCAGUUGGUUAGAGCACU
Molecule: unclassified non-coding RNA, 150 nt
Filed under: Treponema sp. V1
Lineage: Bacteria; Pseudomonadati; Spirochaetota; Spirochaetia; Treponematales; Treponemataceae
Description: partial 16S-23S ribosomal RNA intergenic spacer
Source: RNAcentral